CCCUUAGAUGUUCUGGGCCGCACGCGCGCUACACUGAUUCAUGCAACGAGUUUUGUCCUUGGCUGAAAGGCCUGGGUAAUCUUUGAACGUGAAUCGUGCUGGGGAUAGAUGAUUGCAAUUAUUCAUCUUCAACGAGGAAUUCCUAGUAAACGCAAGUCAUCAGCUUGCAUUGAUUACGUCCCUGCCCUUUGUACACACCGCCCGUCGCACCUACCGAUUGAAUGAUUUAGUGAGGACUUCGGACUGGGACCGAUGCGGCUUUCGGGCUGCGUCGGUAUUCUGGAAAGAUGUCCAAACUGUAUCAUUUAGAGGAAGUAAAAGUCGUAACA
This 329-nucleotide ribosomal RNA is filed under the name uncultured eukaryote. Its description in RNAcentral is "partial 18S ribosomal RNA". It matches the Rfam family "Eukaryotic small subunit ribosomal RNA", at positions 1470 to 1796 of the family's 1831-position model. The record is from RNAcentral.